Molecule: ribosomal RNA, 400 nt
Filed under: uncultured bacterium
Lineage: Bacteria
Description: bacterial SSU rRNA
Rfam family: Bacterial small subunit ribosomal RNA
Source: RNAcentral
UAGGGAAUCUUCCGCAAUGGACGCAAGUCUGACGGAGCAACGCCGCGUGAGUGAUGAAGGUUUUCGGAUCGUAAAACUCUGUUGUUAGGGAAGAACAAGUAUCGGAGUCACUGCCGGUACCUUGACGGUACCUGACGAGAAAGCCACGGCUAACUACGUGCCAGCAGCCGCGGUAAUACGUAGGUGGCAAGCGUUGUCCGGAUUUAUUGGGCGUAAAGCGCGCGCAGGCGGUCUUUUAAGUCUGAUGUGAAAUCUUACAGCUUAACUGUAAGCGGUCAUUGGAAACUGGGAGACUUGAGUGCAGAAGAGGAGAGUGGAAUUCCAUGUGUAGCGGUGAAAUGCGUAGAGAUAUGGAGGAACACCAGUGGCGAAGGCGACUCUCUGGUCUGCAACUGACGCU